CAAUAGCGUAUAUUAAAGUUGUUGCAGUUAAAAAGCUCGUAGUUGGACUUCUGGGCCGUUUUGUUGGUCUGCCGCAAGGCUGUACUAGCGGGAUGGCCCAUCCUCUCGAAGGGCUGGGGGUGCUCUUAACUGGGUGCUUUCAGAACUCGGGAUCUUUACUUUGAAAAAAUUAGAGUGUUCAAAGCAGGCAAUCGCUUGAAUACAUUAGCAUGGAAUAAUAGAAUAGGACUUUGGUUCUAUUUUGUUGGUUUCUAGGACCGAGGUAAUGAUUAAUAGGGACAGUUGGGGGCAUUAGUAUUUAAUUGUCAGAGGUGAAAUUCUUGGAUUUAUGAAAGACUAACUACUGCGAAAGCAUUUGCCAAGGAUGUUUUCAUUAAUCAAGAACGAAAGUUAGGGGAUCGAAGACGUUUAGAUACCA
Molecule: ribosomal RNA, 418 nt
Filed under: uncultured eukaryote
Lineage: Eukaryota
Description: bacterial SSU rRNA
Rfam family: Eukaryotic small subunit ribosomal RNA
Source: RNAcentral